This 547-nucleotide ribosomal RNA is filed under the name uncultured bacterium. Its description in RNAcentral is "bacterial SSU rRNA". It matches the Rfam family "Bacterial small subunit ribosomal RNA", at positions 62 to 597 of the family's 1533-position model. The record is from RNAcentral.
CCGAGUGCUUGCACUCAACUGGAAAGAGGAGUGGCGGACGGGUGAGUAACACGUGGGUAACCUACCCAUCAGAGGGGGAUAACACUUGGAAACAGGUGCUAAUACCGCAUAACAGUUUAUGCCGCAUGGGAUAAGAGUGAAAGGCGCUUUCGGGUGUCGCUGAUGGAUGGACCCGCGGUGCAUUANCUAGUUGGUGAGGUAACGGCUCACCAAGGCCACGAUGCAUAGCCGACCUGAGAGGGUGAUCGGCCACACUGGGACUGAGACACGGCCCAGACUCCUACGGGAGGCAGCAGUAGGGAAUCUUCGGCAAUGGACGAAAGUCUGACCGAGCAACGCCGCGUGAGUGAAGAAGGUUUUCGGAUCGUAAAACUCUGUUGUUAGAGAAGAACAAGGACGUUAGUAACUGAACGUCCCCUGACGGUAUCUAACCAGGAAAGCCACGGCUAACUACGUGCCAGCAGCCGCGGUAAUACGUAGGUGGCAAGCGUUGUCCGGAUUUAUUGGGCGUAAAGCGAGCGCAGGCGGUUUCUUAAGUCUGAUGUGA